RNAcentral lists this ribosomal RNA (326 nucleotides) under uncultured bacterium SY5-55. RNAcentral describes it as "bacterial SSU rRNA". It matches the Rfam family "Bacterial small subunit ribosomal RNA", at positions 8 to 303 of the family's 1533-position model. Lineage: Bacteria; Bacillati; Actinomycetota; Actinomycetes; Micrococcales; Microbacteriaceae. The record is from RNAcentral.
AGAGUUUGAUCCUGGCUCAGAACGAACGUUGGCGGCGUGGAUGACGGCAUGCAAGUCGCACGAUGGAAAGUCGCAAGAUGGAGUAAAGUGGCCGGACGGGGCGAGUAACACGUAAUCMAAGCUGCCCUUGAGACAGGAAAUAACUUCGGGAAACCGAAGCBUAAUUACCUGAUGGUCUUGCUGGAUCGCCAUGGUCUAGCAAGUAAAUGGUGGGGUCCUCCGGGVACCUGKCUGCUCAGGGAGGGUGAUUGCGGCCCAUYCAGUUUAGUUGGGCGGGGUAAUAGGCCCAVCCAAGACUACGACGGGUAGCCGGCCUUAGAGGGUGG